UACAAUCCGCUCUUGAAUACACCUAUAAGAGAAAUGCCAAAGGCAAGAGGAGGGGAACUGAAUUCUCCUAAGCAAUUUCUAUACUUUUAAUACAUACAUACGUUAUUGUUCUAUAGAUAUCCUCGGUAUUUGUACUUGAAUUCUACUUGUUUCCAAUCAUACCUUUUUUAUACGAAAUCAUCAAUAUACAUAUUUUUUUACACAUUUUUUAAGAUAUCGAAAUCUUAC
RNAcentral lists this long non-coding RNA (228 nucleotides) under Brassica napus (rape). Its description in RNAcentral is "long non-coding RNA (BNAP_LNC001489)". Lineage: Eukaryota; Viridiplantae; Streptophyta; Magnoliopsida; Brassicales; Brassicaceae. The record is from RNAcentral.